CCUACGGGAGGCUGCAGUGGGGAAUAUUGCACAAUGGGGGAAACCCUGAUGCAGCGACGCCGCGUGAGUGAAGACGGAUUUCGGUAUGUAAAGCUCUAUCAGCAGGGGAGAAAACGACGGUACGUGAUUAAGAAGCCCCGGAUAACUACGUGCCAGCAGCCGCGGUAAUACGUAGGGGGCAAGCGUUAUCCGGAUUUACUGAGUGUAAAGGGGGGGUAGACGGGAGCACAAGUCCGGAGUGAAAUGCCGGGGCUUAACCCCGGAACUGCUUUUGAAACUGUGCAGCUAGAGUGCAGGAGAGGUAGGUGGAAUGCCUGGUGUAGCGGUGAAAUGCGUAGAUAUUAGGAAGAACACCGGUUGCGAAGGCAGCUUACUGGACUAUAACUGACGUUGAGGCACGAAAGCGUGGGGAGCAAACAGGAUUAGAUACCCUUGUAGUC
Molecule: ribosomal RNA, 440 nt
Filed under: uncultured bacterium
Lineage: Bacteria
Description: partial 16S ribosomal RNA
Rfam family: Bacterial small subunit ribosomal RNA
Source: RNAcentral